UUUCAGAGUUGAAAAGAGGAAAAGGAUGACGAGGAUUAAUUUGAGGAUGUCCAAUUCAUAGUCCAUCAUUUCCUUUUUUUUUUUGUUAUCGAUGAU
Molecule: microRNA precursor, 96 nt
Filed under: Apis mellifera (honey bee)
Lineage: Eukaryota; Metazoa; Arthropoda; Insecta; Hymenoptera; Apidae
Description: microRNA ame-mir-3740 precursor
Source: miRBase by way of RNAcentral